CUUUUCAGAGAAGGUCUCGAAUCCUGAAGACAGACUUCGAGGGGAUGAUGCAGCAAGAAGACCCACACCAGAUGAGGGCGCCUUGAUAUUGGAUUUCCCAGCCUCCAGAACUCAAAUAAAAAUGCAGUCUGGAUUUUAAGGGCCACACAGCAGCAAGAACUAAAACCUGGGUCUCCAAGGUCCAAGUCCAGGACUUCUCUAUGACACCCUACUGCAGCCCUUUGCUGGAUACCAUACAAAGCAAAUUGAGCAGAUGUGUUCUCUGCCCUCUGAAAGUUUGGACUCAAAUGGACAGCCACAAUUCUGGCAAACAUAAAAGGACAAAGUGAUUUAGUGUCAACUCACAUACGCAAUAAAUAACUGAGUUAAAUAGAUAAGGAAAGGCAUGUUCACCUGGUCUACUGAUAUUUUUUAAAUUCCAGUUGAGUAGAGAGCAAUGUUAAUAAGACUAAGGUUUUGGGCCAGUCCCAUUUUUGCCUACUUGCUUUGCACCUGGAAAAAUAUUUGUAACUGCAUGCAAACUCUUUCCCCUCCUCGUCUUCAACAAUCUGUAAACUUUCCCUGAGCAGCUACCAAGUGUAACACAAAGUGGGAAUGAAGGACCAUUAAGAAAUCAUCUCUGUGCCAUGCGCGGUGGCUCAAGCCUAUAAUCCCAGCACUUUGGGAGGCCGAGGCGGGUGGAUCACCUGAGCUCGGGAGUUCAAGGCCAGCCUGGCCAAUAUGGUGAAACCCUGUCUCUACUAAAAAUACAAAAAAAAAAAAAAAAAAAAAAUAGCUGGAUAUGAUGGCAUGUACCUGUAGUCCCAGCUACUCAGGAGGCUGAGGCAGAAGAAUCGCUUGAACCCAGGAGGCAGAGGUUGCAGUGAGCUGAGAUUGCUCCAUUGCACUCCAGCCUGAGAAACAAAAGCAAAACUCUAUCCCCACCCCCCCCAAAAAAAAGGAAGGAAAAGAGAAGAAAAAAAGUCAUCUGUGCCCUCGAGCAACAUCUUUAACCAUUCGCCUAAUUCAAACCACUGGGAUGAAAAUGUAUAUCCUGUAUAUACCAUCUCUACUGCUGGGAAAAAAGACACGUCAACUCAAUACCCAUCCUAUUUUUAGACGGCCUGAGAUUCGUCCUUAUCCAUGCAGGGCAGUCGGGUAGGACAAUGAAGAGGUGGACUUCUGAAUUUGAGAGAAAUUGGUCUUAUCCCAGAGAAGUGAGGCCACCACCCACCUGCAAUAGCUUGGCUUCCUGGAUCCCUAAGCAAAGACAGAGUCUUGCUCUGUCACUCGGGCUGGAGUACAGUGACACAAUCACGGUUCACUGCAGCCUGGACCUCCCAGGCUCAAGUGAUCCCCCUGCUGCAGCCUCCUGAGUAGCUGGGACUACAGGCCUGUGCCACCAUGUCCAGGUAAUUUUUAAAUUUUCUUUUCUCUCUCUCUCUCUCAUAUAAUCCCCAGUAUUGGAAGUGGAGCCUGAUGGGAGGUAUUGGGGUCAUGGGAGCAGAUCCCUCAUGGCUUCGUGCUGUUCUCACCACAUAAAAGCUUCCUGAGGCCUCCCUAGAAGAGGAGCAGAUGCUGUUGCCAUGCUUCUUGUACAGCCUGCAGAACUGUGAACCAAUUAAACUCUUUUCUUUAUACGUUAUCCAGUCUCAGGUAUUUCUUUAUAGCAAUGUAAGAACAGCCUAAUGGCUGGGCACAGUGGCUUAUGCCUGCAAUCCCAGCACUUUGGGAGGCUGAGGCAAAUGGAUUGCUUGAGCCCAGAAGUUCAAGACCAGUCUGGGCAACAUGACAAGACCCCGUCUCUACAAAAAAAAAAAAAAAAAAAAAAAAAAAAAAAAAAUUAGCCAGGCCUGCUGGCAUGCACCUGUAGUCCAAGCUACUUGGGAGGCUGAGGUGGAAGGGUCCCUUGAACCUGGGAGGUGGAGGUUGCAGUGAGCCAAUAUUGUGCCAUUGCACUCCAGCCUGGAUGACAGAACGAGACUCUGUCUCAAAACCAAACCAACCCAAAAAAAAAAAAAAAAAAAAAAAGAACAGCCUACAGCUGGGCGCAGGGACUCAUGCCUGUAAUCCCAGCACUUUGGGAGGCUGAGGUGGGUGGAUCACCUGAGGUCAGGAGUUCAAGACCAGCCUGGCCAACAUGGUGAAACCCUCUCUACUACAAAUACAAAAAAUUAGCCAGGCAUGGUGGCACACACCUGUAAUCCCAGCUUACUCAGAAGGCUGAGGCCCGAGAAUUGCUUGAACCCGGAAGGCGGAGAUUGCAGUGAACCGAGAUCAUGCCACUGCACUCCAGCUUGGGUAACAGAGAGACUCUGUCUCAAAAAAUAAUAAUAAAAUAAUAAAAAAAAAAUUAAAAAAGAACAGCCUACUACAUUUUCUUGCAGGUCCGGUCCACUGCUAGGAGAUCCAUAUCUACUCUUUGGGAGUUCUCCAGAGGAAAAAAUCAACAGGCGGGAGAAAGAUACUCUGCUAGCUUCAGAUUCAUUAGUACUAGGAAAUGGAGAGAUAGGAGGUAUAAUGUAUUAGGGAAGCAAGGGAUUCAGAACCAGGUGCCCACUGACUCUGAGAAGCACUGGGUGCACAGAGGGUAGCAGACAAGCAAGAGGGUGGAAUUUGCAGCAUCUCAUCUUGGUGAGACAGUUGGAAGACUUUUCUGCCAAUUAUAGUGGUUAAACACUGACUCAACAUCAAACAACGGCAUGAGGGGUCAGAGCCUUCAUUCGUGGACAAGUUUCAAAAACAUGGGAGCACCACCUGUCAUGAGCAAUUUAGUCAGAACAGAAGAGAAUAGAUCACACCCAACAAGACAGAAAAAGCUGCUUUCUGGAGAGGGCGGGAGCUAAUAUUUCCUAACACGGUGAAAUUGUGAAGUGCUUUUUGCAGCCCUUCAUAAUUUCAUCAUCCAAAGGGUUUGCUUUUGGAAUUCUUAGACACUUAAUUCUGUCCCUGCUUUCCGUGUCACUUCCACGGGACACUGAAUUUGGGAAGAGGGAGACCUCACCAAUGAUGGGAAGAACAGAUUGGGGGCUGGCGCCCUUUUGGGUUUGCCAUGUGAACAUCCUCCUGGAACAGUCUCCAUUCUGUCCCAGCAAGACACACUCUGCUCUGUGAAGAACCCAGGUGGGAAAAAAAAAAAAAUCUAUGAGGCCACAGUGGAAAUGCAGCUCAGCAGGACUCUCAGGUACCCCAAAAUUGUCCCAUCUGACAACUCACCACAUUCUAUUUAUUUAUUUAUUUAUUUAUUUUGAGAUGGAGUCUCACUGUGUCACCCAGGCUGGAGUGUAGUGGCGUGAUCUAGGCUCACCGCAGCCUACGCCUCCCAGAUUCAAGCGAUUCUCCUGCCUCAGCCUCCCAUGUAGCUGAGACUACAGGCAUGCGCCACCACACCCAGCUAAUUUUUGUAUUUUUAGUAGAGAUGGGGUUUCGCCAUGUUGCCCAGGCUGGUCUCAAACUUCUGACCUCAGGUGAUCCACCCCCGCCCCUCAGCCUCCCAAAGUUCUGGGAUUACAGUCAUGAGACACUGCACCUGGCCAACACAUUCUGUUUUCAUCAUUAGUGCCUGUCCUCCCUGCUAGCUCAUGGGCUCCCCCAGAGCAGGCAUGUUUGCCCUAGUCACCAUCAAAACUGUCUUAGUACCUGUCACGGUGCCUGGCACAUAGCAGUUAUUCAGUAAAUGUUUGUUGAAUAAAUCAACUAUAAACAUCAAAAUGAUUCCCUUAAAAAGGUCUUCAUUCUUGUUCAGAUGUAGAGAGUUACAUUACAAACACUUGUGUGCUGGGGAUAGGAAGGGACACUGUUGGGUAAUAAUAAGUGCUUGAAACAUGUGGGAGGGCCCUGGAAAAUAGCCCAAAAAGUUCACAUUGUAUCUGAUAAGCAACAGGGAGCUACUGCAGGUUCUUCAGGUCACCAGUAGGCAAGCAGGUGGUGGCUUUCCAGGCUGAAAAGUGUAUUUGAUCUGGAAGAUAGUAGGAUCACAGACAAACAGUGAGUCUUGGAGUAGCCUGAUCACAGUGGCAAGCUCAAGAGACAAUUUUAUGGCUGAGGGCUGAAUGUUUCAGCUGGGUGGGUGUCAAGAAACCAGCAAGACUCCAGGCAUGGUGGCUCAUGCCUGUAAUCCCAACACUUAGGGAGGCCGAGACAGAGGAUCCCUUAAGCCCAGGAGUUUGAGACCAGCCUGGGCAGUAUAAGGAAGCCCUGUCUCUACAAAAAUAAAAACAUAACAAAAUUAGCCAAGUGUGGUGGCGUGUGCCUGUGCUUCUAGCUCCUUCAGAGGCUGAAGUGGGGAGGAUCACUCGAGCCUGGGAGGUUGAGGCUUCACUGAGCUGUGAUCAUGCUGCUGCACUCCAGCCUGGGCGACAGAGUGAGACCCUGUCUCAAAAAACAAACAAACAAACAAGAAACCCAGCAAGAAUUAAGAAUUCUGGUGAGCACUGUUCCCGUGUGACCUCAGAGAGCUGAUAGGCAAUUUGAUGGCAGAGGCGGGGGCCAGUGCAGUCAUGGCCAAAAAUGGCCAGGGAGGAAGAAGAUGCCCUGGGUCUCAGCCCAGAGUCUGGUGUUGGAUGGUGUGGAGAGUAGAAGUGAAGCCAAAGUAAGGUCUGUCUUUCUUCAGAGAGAGCCUCCUAAAGGCAGAGGACAUGUCUUAUCCAUCUACACCCACAGCUCCAAGCGGAGCUCCUUGCCCAGAGAAGCUGCUUAAUAAAUUGACACACGAAUGCUUGGCUGCCUCGCUGGCUCUGGGAGGCAUGGAUGAUGCCAGAGCUUGGGGAGGCCACUGAAGCAGUGUUUAUUGUCCUUUCUCCUCCAACUUCCUCAGUCUACCCUUCUGUGUUGUCCCACCUCUCCUUGAAGCCAGAAGAUGUCCCCAAAGGUUGCUACUCUCCACAUGGACAGCAGCCAGGAGACGCCUGCCCUGCCCCGCCCCUUGCUAGUUGGUGAUGCUGGCCUAGCAAGGCAGGGUCCUGCAGGAUGAAAGCUCGGAGAAGCCAAAACAGGAAUAAUAAUGAUAAUAAUCAGCUGCGGCGUCUCAACCAUCCAGGAAUGCAAGGCUCCACGCCCUGUGUGCCUCACACCCCAGGACAUCGCAAGGGCUCCUCUCCCUUUAUUUUAUUGCAGUGAUCCCACACUGCCAUUCCCAGCCCAACCCAUCUGGAUUCCCAAGAACUGCAGUCCAGCCACCGGCUCAUCCACCACCCAGUUUCCAUGGGAAUAUUCAGCUCCAAGACCUAAGCCAGCAGCAGGGUAAGACGCCCAGCUACUUGGAAACUCGUGCUCCAUGGCUUCUGGGAGAAGCAGUCUGCCCACCCCUGGCCUGGAACGCUUUCCCAUAGACCCAUCUAUGUCUGGUCAAUGUGAGGGCCAGGUACCUUGCUUGUGUCAAUCCAAAUCUGGAUUCAAGUCUGGUCUGGCCUUAAACUAACUCACCACGGGACCCUAGACAGGUUUGGUUUCAUUUUUUAACUUUUUUGGGUUCACUCGCUCUCUUGCCCAAAAGCUUUUCAAGGAUCCCCAUGGCUCAGUGAAGAUAAACUCUGGAUCUAGAGGUCUAGUACGUGGCCAUUUGAAAUCUCGUUCUAAAACACCUUUCCAAAUCCACUCGUCUCCUUCACCUUUGGGAUGCCAGCCAGAAGGAAGUACUCACCGUUGGUCAUGCACAUCCCAUGCUUUUCCAUUUGGGGAUUUUGCUCCUUCUUUGGGAAUGUCAUUCCUUCCACCUCUACCUCCACCUGGCAAGACCCUCCUAGCCUUCAAGGCCCAGGCCAGGGGCCAUCUCCUCCAUGAUUAUGCCUGACCCUCAUCCACCUUGGAACCCUGCUUCCUUUUCCUCAGACCCUUUCAAGCCCCAGUACUCACAUUGUGCUGUGGGUGUGUGCAUAUCUUAAUCAUCAGCAUCCUGAUGUCUCGUUCAUCUCUGUGUCUCCAUGGCGGCUAGUACAGCACCUUGCACACAGGGCAAGGAAUCAAUACAUAAGUUCCAGACAUACAUUGUGGAGAAUAAUCAUCCUCACUCUAUUAAAUCCUCCCACAAUUGUGCUCCAAAAAAUAAAAAUAAUUAUUUUAGGCCAGGUGUGAUGGCUCACAUCUGUAAUCCCAGCACUUUGGGAGGCCAAGGCAGGAGGAUCGCUUGAGCCCAGGAGUUUCAGACCAGCUUGGGCAACAUAGUGGGACCCUAUCUCUACAAAAAAUAAAAUUAGCCAGGCAUGGUUGCACAUGCCUGUUGUCCCAGCUACUCAGGAGGCUGAGGUGGGAGGAUUGACUGAGCUGGGGAGGCAAAGGUUGCAGUGAGCCAAGAUCAUACCACUGCACUCCAGCCUGAGUGACAGAGCAAGACCCUGUCUCCCUAGCUCCAAAAUGUUUAUUUAAUAUAACAUUUCCUGAGUGUGUAUUAUUGGCUUGAGAGAGAAAUAAAGAGUACAAAGGCCAGGAAGGCCCCUUACCCCCACCCCAGCCUCCUCUGUAGGUAGGAUGCAGGUACCCAAGUCUCCAUGAAGACAUCAGCUCUCUGGCUUUGGCUCCUAGGCUGACACUAGGAACCCUUUCCUUGACCAGUGGCUGGUCCAGUUCCAUCUCAGACUCUGUCUAGUACGAGGUGGGUUCUUCCCUU
This 6583-nucleotide long non-coding RNA is filed under the name Homo sapiens (human). RNAcentral's name for it is "non-protein coding lnc-NGFR-3:13". Lineage: Eukaryota; Metazoa; Chordata; Mammalia; Primates; Hominidae. The record is from RNAcentral.